RNAcentral lists this unclassified non-coding RNA (378 nucleotides) under plant metagenome. Its description in RNAcentral is "partial contains 5.8S ribosomal RNA, internal transcribed spacer 2, and large subunit ribosomal RNA". The stretch from base 1 to 105 matches the Rfam family "5.8S ribosomal RNA", at positions 50 to 154 of the family's 154-position model. The record is from RNAcentral.
GAAAUGCGAUAAGUAAUGUGAAUUGCAGAAUUCAGUGAAUCAUCGAAUCUUUGAACGCACCUUGCGCUCCUUGGUAUUCCUUGGAGCAUGCCUGUUUGAGUAUCAUGUAAUCUUCAAAGUAAAUCUUUUGUUAACUCAAUUGGUUUCUACUUUGGUAUUGGAGGUCUUUGCAGCUUCACACCUGCUCCUCUUUGUUCAUUAGCUGGAUCUCAGUGUUAUGCUUGGUUCCACUCGGCGUGAUAAGUUAUCUAUCGCUGAGGACACUGUAAAAGGUGGCCAAGGUAAAUGCAGAUGAACCGCUUCUAAUAGUCCAUUGACUUGGACAAUACUUUUAUGAUCUGAUCUCAAAUCAGGUAGGACUACCCGCUGAACUUAAGC